UACAGAGGGUGCGAGCGUUGUUCGGAAUUAUUGGGCGUAAAGGGCGCGUAGGUGGCGCGGGAAGUCAACGGUGAAAGUUCGGGGCUCAACCCUGAAUCGGCCGUCGAUACUCCCGGGCUCGAGCACUGUAGAGGCAGGUGGAAUUCCGGGUGUAGCGGUGGAAUGCGUAGAGAUCCGGAAGAACACCGGUGGCGAAGGCGGCCUGCUGG
Molecule: ribosomal RNA, 209 nt
Filed under: uncultured bacterium
Lineage: Bacteria
Description: partial 16S ribosomal RNA
Rfam family: Bacterial small subunit ribosomal RNA
Source: RNAcentral